CCUCCUUAUACGAUUUAGAACUUAUUUGUUCGUAGUGUCCACACAGAUGAUUGUUAGUUAGUUUUACCCUCUGGGUUAACUAAUUAAUAUGCUCUUUAAAAAUUUGGAAAAGCUGAUAAUAAAAUUCGUAUGAAUAACACUGUUAUUUGUACAGAGUUUUCAAAAGUAAAAAAGAAUGAUAGCAGUAUCAUUCAGUGCCAUUUAAUAAACGUUUACGUUUGUUGAUUGGUAUCUACUUUAGUAUUCAAUAUUAACUUCUGGCGAAGUUAAACUGUCACAAAACAAAGACCCGUUUGGGUUGUAUGGUUAAGUGACUAAGCGUACACGGUGGAUGC
RNAcentral lists this unclassified non-coding RNA (335 nucleotides) under uncultured Pseudoalteromonas sp. RNAcentral's name for it is "partial 16S-23S ribosomal RNA intergenic spacer". The record is from RNAcentral. Lineage: Bacteria; Pseudomonadati; Pseudomonadota; Gammaproteobacteria; Alteromonadales; Pseudoalteromonadaceae.